CAAUAGCGUAUAUUAAUGUUGUUGCAGUUAAAAAGCUCGUAGUUGGAUUUCUGGUGGGAGCGGCCGGUCCGCCGUAAGGUGUGUACUUGGUUGUCUCCUGUCAUCCUUGUGGGAACUGCUCUGGCAUUAAGUUGUCGGGGUUAGGGAACACAUCGUUUACUGUGAAAAAAUUAGAGUGUUUAAAGCAGGCUUAUGCCGUUGAAUACAUUAGCAUGGAAUAAUAAGAUAGGACUUUGGCGUCUAUUUUGUUGGUUUGCACACCAAGGUAAUGAUUAAUAGGGAUAGUUGGGGGUAUUCGUAUUUAAUUGUCAGAGGUGAAAUUCUUGGAUUUAUGAAAGGCGAACUUCUGCGAAAGCAUUUACCAAAGAUGUUUUCAUUAA
This 380-nucleotide ribosomal RNA is filed under the name uncultured eukaryote. RNAcentral describes it as "partial 18S ribosomal RNA". It matches the Rfam family "Eukaryotic small subunit ribosomal RNA", at positions 592 to 976 of the family's 1831-position model. The record is from RNAcentral.